GUGGCGCCUCCGUAGAUGUGUGGGGUUUCUCGUAGCCUGUGGCCGGUGUAGGUGGGGACCUUUGAAGUCCGAGUGGUUUGGAGGGCGACGCCGCUCGGAAAAUUGUUUUGAGAAGCGGGAGACGAGUCCGUUUCCCUGAACAGGACCUGGACAGCCUCUUCGGGUGUGCAGCCGGGGACACCCUCUCCGAAAUUUCUCAGGAAAUUCUGCCUCAGAAAGAUCUAGUUAACCCAGGCAAGACUCCAGCCUCCAUGACCUUCCCUGAGUUCCAAAGAGUGGACUUGAACAUUGCUAAUCAAAGUGAGGAGCAGCCAAGAAACCAGCUGAGGCAGGAUUAAAGGGACCAGGGAACUCAUCAAGGUCAGGAAACCCACCACCUGUGACCCCACACGUACCCCAAGCUUGUCAGCAAUCCCACCCUUGAAGUGUUUUUAUAAAACUCAACAAAUCCUUCCAGGUUAGGACACAUACUUUUUCAAGCCAGGAGCCUUCUGUGCCCAUCUUUACCUGGCAAAGCUGUAAGGUUCUCCUUUUCUAUUUCACCCAAACUCUGAUAUUUGAUUUGGCACAGGUGCAGAGAGGCAGAAUUUUGGGCAUUAUAAAGUGGGUGGCAUGCUGCCAUAAAGCGUGGGAACUGUCUGUAUUGACUUCUUGCUCUAUGUGAAAGCAUUUUAUAUGUAAGUUUGAUGCAUUUUAUAAGAUUAAAAGUAAUCCUGAUCUAUUUUAAAAA
Long non-coding RNA from Bubalus bubalis (water buffalo), 730 nucleotides. RefSeq lists it as uncharacterized. NCBI's taxonomy places the organism in Eukaryota, Metazoa, Chordata, Mammalia, Artiodactyla, Bovidae. The record is from RefSeq and is a predicted model, not a curated record. The transcript is spliced from 2 exons.